Molecule: ribosomal RNA, 460 nt
Filed under: uncultured bacterium
Lineage: Bacteria
Description: partial 16S ribosomal RNA
Rfam family: Bacterial small subunit ribosomal RNA
Source: RNAcentral
CCUACGGGAGGCAGCAGUGAGGAAUAUUGGUCAAUGGACGAGAGUCUGAACCAGCCAAGUAGCGUGAAGGAUGACUGCCCUAUGGGUUGUAAACUUCUUUUAUAUGGGAAUAAAAUGUUUCACGUGUGGGAUUUUGUAUGUACCGUAUGAAUAAGGAUCGGCUAACUCCGUGCCAGCAGCCGCGGUAAUACGGAGGAUCCGGGCGUUAUCCGGAUUUAUUGGGUUUAAAGGGAGCGUAGGCGGAUUGUUAAGUCAGUUGUGAAAGGUUGGGGCUCAACCGGAAAAUUGCAGUUGAAACUGGCAGUCUUGAGUACAGGAGAGGUGGGCGGAAUUCGUGGUGUAGCGGUGAAAUGCUUAGAUAUCACGAAGAACUCCGAUUGCGAAGGCAGCUCACUGGACUGCAACUGACGCUGAGGCUCGAAAGUGUGGGUAUCAAACAGGAUUAGAUACCCCUGUAGUC